CUACGGGUUGCUGCAGUCGAGAAUCAUCUGCAAUGGGCGAAAGCCUGACGGUGCAAUGCCGCGUGGGGGAUGAAGGCCCUCGGGUCGUAAACCCCUGUCAGGAGGGACGAAGAAGUGACGGUACCUCCAGAGGAAGCCACGGCUAACUACGUGCCAGCAGCCGCGGUAAUACGUAGGUGGCGAGCGUUAUUCGGAUUUACUGGGCGUAAAGGGUCCGCAGGGGGUUUGCCAAGUCUGGUGUGAAAUCUCACAGCUCAACUGUGAAACUGCGCUGGAUACUGGUGAACUAGAGUGCGCGAGGGGUGAGUGGAAUUCCUGGUGUAGCGGUGGAAUGCGUAGAUAUCAGGAAGAACACCAACGGCGAAGGCAGCUCACUGGCGCGCAACUGACCCUCAUGGACGAAAGCGUGGGUAGCAAACAGGAUUAGAUACCCUCGUAGUC
This 441-nucleotide ribosomal RNA is filed under the name uncultured bacterium. RNAcentral describes it as "partial 16S ribosomal RNA". It matches the Rfam family "Bacterial small subunit ribosomal RNA", at positions 339 to 795 of the family's 1533-position model. The record is from RNAcentral.